RNAcentral lists this ribosomal RNA (253 nucleotides) under uncultured bacterium. RNAcentral's name for it is "partial 16S ribosomal RNA". It matches the Rfam family "Bacterial small subunit ribosomal RNA", at positions 524 to 776 of the family's 1533-position model. The record is from RNAcentral.
GACGUAGGGCGCGAGCGUUGUCCGGAUUUAUUGGGCGUAAAGAGCUCGUAGGCGGCUUGUCGCGUCUGCUGUGAAAACGCGAGGCUCAACCUCGCGCCUGCAGUGGGUACGGGCAGACUAGAGUGCGGUAGGGGAGAUUGGAAUUCCUGGUGUAGCGGUGGAAUGCGCAGAUAUCAGGAGGAACACCGAUGGCGAAGGCAGAUCUCUGGGCCGUAACUGACGCUGAGGAGCGAAAGCGUGGGGAGCGAACAGG